RNAcentral lists this ribosomal RNA (207 nucleotides) under uncultured Rhodocyclaceae bacterium. RNAcentral describes it as "partial 16S ribosomal RNA". It matches the Rfam family "Bacterial small subunit ribosomal RNA", at positions 1179 to 1382 of the family's 1533-position model. Lineage: Bacteria; Pseudomonadati; Pseudomonadota; Betaproteobacteria; Rhodocyclales; Rhodocyclaceae. The record is from RNAcentral.
AUGACGUCAAGUCCCUCAUCGGCCCUUAUGGGUAGGCUUCACACGUCAUACAAUGGUCGGUACAGGAGGGUUGCCCAACCCGCGAGGGGGAGCUAAUCCCACAAAGCCGAUCGUAGUCCGGAUCGCAGUCUGCAACUCGACUGCGUGAAGUCGGAAUCGCUAGUAAUCGUGGAUCAGCAUGUCACGGUGAAUACGUUCCCGGGUCUU